This 468-nucleotide ribosomal RNA is filed under the name uncultured bacterium. RNAcentral describes it as "partial 16S ribosomal RNA". It matches the Rfam family "Bacterial small subunit ribosomal RNA", at positions 28 to 507 of the family's 1533-position model. The record is from RNAcentral.
GACGAACGCUGGCGGCGUGCUUAACACAUGCAAGUCGAACGGAAAGGCCCUGCUUUUGUGGGGUGCUCGAGUGGCGAACGGGUGAGUAACACGUGAGUAACCUGCCCUUGACUUUGGGAUAACUUCAGGAAACUGGGGCUAAUACCGGAUAGGAGCUCCUGCUGCAUGGUGGGGGUUGGAAAGUUUCGGCGGUUGGGGAUGGACUCGCGGCUUAUCAGCUUGUUGGUGGGGUAGUGGCUUACCAAGGCUUUGACGGGUAGCCGGCCUGAGAGGGUGACCGGCCACAUUGGGACUGAGAUACGGCCCAGACUCCUACGGGAGGCAGCAGUGGGGAAUAUUGCACAAUGGGCGGGAGCCUGAUGCAGCAACGCCGCGUGCGUGAUGACGGCCUUCGGGUUGUAAACCGCUUUCGCCUGUGACGAAGCGUGAGUGACGGUAAUGGGUAAAGAAGCACCGGCUAACUACGUG